Nicotiana attenuata is the source of this 933-nucleotide long non-coding RNA. RefSeq lists it as uncharacterized. NCBI's taxonomy places the organism in Eukaryota, Viridiplantae, Streptophyta, Magnoliopsida, Solanales, Solanaceae. The record is from RefSeq and is a predicted model, not a curated record. The transcript is spliced from 2 exons.
CGGAAAGAAUGAGGCAGGCAGAGAGCCAGGCAGAGAGCCAGUUGGGAGUCUCUAGUGGUGGUUGCCCCCUCUCUCUUCCUAUGAUUUCCUUUUCCAUUUGUAAACUAAACCACCAUUCACCUUAAGGAACUGUUUGGUUAAUGUCUGAGUAGAUUUACAUACCAAGUACCCGCGCAGCAUGCUAGCUUCCCCCCAAUGCAUGCCCACCUCCAGCCUUGCAGCAAGCACCUUGAGGAAAGCUAGAUGCAGUAGCAGAUUCUGUUUAGGAGAUGUCAUCUACUGUUAUGGCGCACCGGAUUUUUCAUGAACGUAUUGCACUUGAAGUUUCAGCUGGUUGAUCCAUUCAUGUCUUUGAACAAUUUGUGCGAUACUGUUUGUUCAGAAAGCAAAAUGCAGUACAUUGGACGCGUCCUCCUUAGACUCUAUUCAAGAUCAACACAGAUGGGAGCUCAAACAGGAACGGGGGACUACGUGGAGGAGGUGGUGGUAUUAGAUCAUAUACUGGAAUUAAUAGCAGCUUUUGCAUCACCUUUCAGUAAAGGAAUGUGCUGAAACAAAACUAAUUGGAUCCAUGCUAAAUCAGACCCGCCAUUUGGAAUCUUAUCUCAGUAAUUGAAAGCAUUAAGGUAAGCUGAAGGUUUUGGAAUAUGUGCAGCUUCAACAUUGCUUCAGAGAAGCUAAUGAAGGAUUGAAGCUUGCAUGACGGAUUGGUAUAAUUUAAGGAUCAAAAGUAGUUUUUUGUUUUUUUUUUGUAUACCAUGAGCUGUACCUCAAAAGGAUGUAACAAGUUAGUUCUAGUAGGACUAAUUUAGAAAGAUGUAAUUAGACUAAUUAUACAUACAAUUGUAUUUCCACACACCAUAGAUCUCUUUAAAAAUUGUGUAUGUACAAUUCAAACUUAAUUAGUUUUCGAUGAGGUUCCCCUCCUUCAUA